This 66-nucleotide transfer RNA is filed under the name Luciola parvula. RNAcentral describes it as "tRNA-Ser". Lineage: Eukaryota; Metazoa; Arthropoda; Insecta; Coleoptera; Lampyridae. The record is from RNAcentral.
AGUCAAUGAACUUGUAUAAGUAUAUAUUUUGAAAGUAUAAAAAAAGAUGAUAAGUCUUAUUGACUU